Cynoglossus semilaevis (tongue sole) is the source of this 1214-nucleotide long non-coding RNA. RefSeq lists it as uncharacterized. NCBI's taxonomy places the organism in Eukaryota, Metazoa, Chordata, Actinopteri, Pleuronectiformes, Cynoglossidae. The transcript has 2 exons. The record is from RefSeq and is a predicted model, not a curated record.
GUAACAAGGUGCCUGUCUACCUGUACAAAUACUACAAUAAUUCUGUCAUAUUCACUGACUAAGACAUUGAGGCCAAAGUGGUUUUUGGAGAAGAAAAAAAAAUCCUCUUACAUAGAAUUUGUAACAUUAUUUUGAGCCCAUGUGGACGACGAGCUGCCAAACUGUCAUCAUUUCUUCCCACUGAUUUGUCAGUGCGGUGCUAAACAGCAGGGUAAUGUGUUGACAGUGACCUAGACAGGCGCCUCCUGCAGUCAGCACAGAGCAUCACACCACAACACGGGACAACAGUUAUAACCAGCAGCAGUGUUAUUACCAAUGUGAGGACAGUACCAGAACUGACCCGUAAAAUAAAAUAAUAAUUUAAAAAAUAAACACAACUCACAGCAGUAAACAGGACGGAGGGUCUUUAAAGUAUCCGUGGGUUUCAGAGGCGUUCAGGUGCAGCCUGAAAUAUUUGACACAAGAGGCAGUAUUUAUUUCAAAUGGAGGUGGAAAAUAUAUAAAACUGUUUGUUUAAAGACAACUGUCUGUGUUAAUGAUGAUGGUUAAAAAAAAGAAACCUUUCUUACCUCAUUGUGGCGCUGUGUUCCCUUUUCAUUUGAUCAGAUGGGUUUUGUUUUAUUUAUUUAAUGUUCAAAUAUGAAGCAUUUUCAAAUCACAUUUUUAACCAAACUGGAAAGGAAAGGCUUUGAUCUAGAACCAUCUGAUUGUUUUAUAUCAAAGCCUCUGAUGGAAAAAAACCACCACUGAAGAAGAGAGCAGACUGAGAUGGGCGAUGUUUUCCCGAUGGCGUGUUAAUGUCGAAACACAAAGCACAAUCCAUCCAUCGGUUCCCAGAGUUUCCGUGUUACGUAGCAGCGCUGGCUGCAUGUGUCUGUGGUGUUAGCGAACGAUUACCCUUUGUUGAUAUUCAACAUCUGGUUCUCUGCCCUCUCCUGCCCUCCUAAAACCAGCCCCAGUCAGCUCUCCUUUUCCUCCUCCUCCUCCAUUCUCUCCUCUUGUUUUUUUUUGUAACAACAGCUGUACAGUACUUUUACAUUUUGUAGGAGAAAUAGAUUAUUUUUGUGACUUUGUUUAUUUCAGAGUAUAAGGAUUAUUUUAGAAAAUAUGUUUAAAGCCACUUUUUUAAUCUGUAAAAUAUGUACACAAAGUGUAAAGUUUUAUGAUCCUGCUGCUUUUUUUACAAAACCGAAAAUAAACCUGGUAGAAAGACA